AUGGGGUUGGUUCCUGGAACAAGGUGGUCUUCGUCCCGAGGUUACACACCUGAUGAUGUUUACAGCGAGGUGCAGGAACAAGCAGAGGCCGAGGAAGUGCAGGCACGCGUUGCUGACCUUGGCAGGUGUAGGAACCACGCGAGGAAGGUUCAGCACGCUGCACUAGUCAGGCCACGCCCGGGGCACCGUGCCAACACAUGUGUAUGUGGUCGGUGGGUUGGCCAACCCGCCAACAUCUGCAUUCUGCGAUUUCAUCUUCACCAUGGACACAAGCAAGGACUGAUUGGUGGGUCUUGGCCGAGCAUCGACGGAUCGAAGUGGUCGAGGUCGCGGUUAAUCGACCAGGACGAGAGAUGCAUCUUGGAGCUAGCGCAGAGGGGGAAAGAAGCAGGUUGGUCUGGCCUGGACUCGCAAAUGAAUUGGUAUUUCCAGUUCUUUUCCCAUGAAGGUCACAUGCCUAACUUCGUGCUAGACAUUGCUAACUCAGCCACUUGA
Molecule: ribosomal RNA, 495 nt
Filed under: Triticum aestivum (bread wheat)
Lineage: Eukaryota; Viridiplantae; Streptophyta; Magnoliopsida; Poales; Poaceae
Description: partial small subunit ribosomal RNA
Source: RNAcentral